Molecule: transfer RNA, 73 nt
Filed under: Myxococcales bacterium
Lineage: Bacteria; Pseudomonadati; Myxococcota; Myxococcia; Myxococcales
Description: tRNA-His
Rfam family: tRNA
About the family: Transfer RNA (tRNA) molecules are approximately 80 nucleotides in length. Their secondary structure includes four short double-helical elements and three loops (D, anti-codon, and T loops).
Source: RNAcentral
GUGAGCGUAGCUCAGUUGGUAGAGCGCCGGAUUGUGGUUCCGGUGGUCGGGGGUUCAAAUCCCCUCGCUCACC